UUUCCGUAGGUGAACCUGCGGAAGGAUCAUUAAUGAGUUGUCAUGGGGUUCGAUGCUGGCAGCCAGUUUUUGGAUGCAUGUGCUUGCCCUAACAAUCAUCUUCUUCCAAACACCUGUGCACAUUUUUGAGGGAGUCUUGAGUUGGUUGCCGCUCUUGGGUGAUUUUCUCACAUUCCCUUAAAUCAUUAUACGCUAUUAACAAUGUUGAACGUGCUCUGUGCCGCAAGGCCAUUAAUAUAAUACAACUUUUAACAACGGAUCUCUUGGCUCUCGCAUCAAUGAAGAACGCAGC
This 292-nucleotide unclassified non-coding RNA is filed under the name plant metagenome. RNAcentral's name for it is "partial contains small subunit ribosomal RNA, internal transcribed spacer 1, and 5.8S ribosomal RNA". The stretch from base 244 to 292 matches the Rfam family "5.8S ribosomal RNA", at positions 1 to 49 of the family's 154-position model. The record is from RNAcentral.